GAGUAAUCUACCCUCGAGUGCGGAAUAGCUUCGCGAAAGUGGUGCUAAUACCGCAUAAUACUCUAAAGCACACGCUUUUAGAGUCAAAGCCCUUCGGGGUGCUUGAGGAUGAGCUUGCGCCAUAUUAGCUUGUUGGUGGGGUAAUGGCCUACCAAGGUUAUGAUGUGUAGCCGGCCUGAGAGGGUGUACGGCCACACUGGAACUGCGACACGGUCCAG
RNAcentral lists this ribosomal RNA (218 nucleotides) under uncultured bacterium. RNAcentral's name for it is "partial 16S ribosomal RNA". It matches the Rfam family "Bacterial small subunit ribosomal RNA", at positions 119 to 334 of the family's 1533-position model. The record is from RNAcentral.